RNAcentral lists this ribosomal RNA (200 nucleotides) under uncultured prokaryote. RNAcentral's name for it is "partial 16S ribosomal RNA". It matches the Rfam family "Bacterial small subunit ribosomal RNA", at positions 1183 to 1382 of the family's 1533-position model. The record is from RNAcentral.
CGUCAAAUCAGCACGGCCCUUACAUCCGGGGCUACACACGUGUUACAAUGGCAUGGACAAAGGGCAGCUACCUGGUGACAGGAUGCUAAUCUCUAAACCAUGUCUCAGUUCGGAUCGAAGUCUGCAACCCGACUUCGUGAAGCUGGAUUCGCUAGUAAUCGCGCAUCAGCCAUGGCGCGGUGAAUACGUUCCCGGGCCUU